RNAcentral lists this unclassified non-coding RNA (354 nucleotides) under soil metagenome. RNAcentral's name for it is "partial contains 5.8S ribosomal RNA, internal transcribed spacer 2, and large subunit ribosomal RNA". The stretch from base 1 to 120 matches the Rfam family "5.8S ribosomal RNA", at positions 35 to 154 of the family's 154-position model. The record is from RNAcentral.
GAUGAAGAACGUAGCGAAAUGCGAUAAGUAGUGUGAAUUGCAGAAUUCAGUGAAUCAUCGAAUCUUUGAACGCACAUUGCGCCUCCUGGUAUUCCGGGAGGCAUGCCUGUUCGAGCGUCAUUAAAAUCACUCAAGCUUAGGUUUACCUAUUGCUUGGUCUUGGAGAUGGAAGCCAAUUUAUUGGAAUCCUCUUCGAAAUUCAAUGGCGAAGACCCUUGCUCUCCCAAGUGUAGUAAUAACUUAUGUCACUGAAGGAAGCGAGAAAUCUUCUGCCGUAACCCCCAUCUUUUCUAUGAUUGACCUCGGAUCAGGUAGGGAUACCCGCUGAACUUAAGCAUAUCAAUAAGCGGAGGA